GUGUCAGUAGCUCAGUUGGAUAGAGCAACGGCCUUCUAAGCCGUGGGUCGUGGGUUCGAAUCCCUCCUGGCACA
This 74-nucleotide transfer RNA is filed under the name Lachnospiraceae bacterium C7. It matches the Rfam family "tRNA". Rfam says of the family: Transfer RNA (tRNA) molecules are approximately 80 nucleotides in length. Their secondary structure includes four short double-helical elements and three loops (D, anti-codon, and T loops). Further hydrogen bonds mediate the characteristic L-shaped molecular structure. tRNAs have two regions of fundamental functional importance: the anti-codon, which is responsible for specific mRNA codon recognition, and the 3' end, to which the tRNAs corresponding amino acid is attached (by aminoacyl-tRNA synthetases). tRNAs cope with the degeneracy of the genetic code in two manners: having more than one tRNA (with a specific anti-codon) for a particular amino acid; and 'wobble' base-pairing, i.e. permitting non-standard base-pairing at the 3rd anti-codon position. The record is from Rfam by way of RNAcentral. Lineage: Bacteria; Bacillati; Bacillota; Clostridia; Lachnospirales; Lachnospiraceae.